Molecule: non-coding RNA, 106 nt
Organism: Acanthosepion pharaonis
Lineage: Eukaryota; Metazoa; Mollusca; Cephalopoda; Sepiida; Sepiidae
Source: the annotation of a GenBank genome assembly
UAUAACACGUUGAAACACUGGUUCUCGUACGAUCACCGAAGUUGAGCAACGUCGAGCCUGGUCAGUACCUAGAUGGGUGACCACUUGGGAAUACCAAGCGCUGUAA